CCCCGGUAAACGGCGGCCGUAACUAUAACGGUCCUAAGGUAGCGAAAUUCCUUGUCGGGUAAGUUCCGACCUGCACGAAUGGCGUAAUGAUGGCCAGGCUGUCUCCACCCGAGACUCAGUGAAAUUGAACUCGCUGUGAAGAUGCAGUGUACCCGCGGCAAGACGGAAAGACCCCGUGAACCUUUACUAUAGCUUGACACUGAACAUUGAGCCUUGAUGUGUAGGAUAGGUGGGAGGCUUUGAAGUGUGGACGCCAGUCUGCAUGGAGCCGACCUUGAAAUACCACCCUUUAAUGUUUGAUGUUCUAACGUGGACCCGUAAUCCGGGUUGCGGACAGUGUCUGGUGGGUAGUUUGACUGGGGCGGUCUCCUCCUAAAGAGUAACGGAGGAGCACGAAGGUUGGCUAAUCCUGGUCGGACAUCAGGAGGUUAGUGCAAUGGCAUAAGCCAGCUUGACUGCGAGCGUGACGGCGCGAGCAGGUGCGAAAGCAGGUCAUAGUGAUCCGGUGGUUCUGAAUGGAAGGGCCAUCGCUCAACGGAUAAAAGGUACUCCGGGGAUAACAGGCUGAUACCGCCCAAGAGUUCAUAUCGACGGCGGUGUUUGGCACCUCGAUGUCGGCUCAUCACAUCCUGGGGCUGAAGUAGGUCCCAAGGGUAUGGCUGUUCGCCAUUUAAAGUGGUACGCGAGCUGGGUUUAGAACGUCGUGAGACAGUUCGGUCCCUAUCUGCCGUGGGCGCUGGAGAACUGAGGGGGGCUGCUCCUAGUACGAGAGGACCGGAGUGGACGCAUCACUGGUGUUCGGGUUGUCAUGCCAAUGGCACUGCCCGGUAGCUAAAUGCGGAAGAGAUAAGUGCUGAAAGCAUCUAAGCACGAAACUUGCCCCGAGAUGAGUUCUCCCUGAGACUUAGAGUCUCCUGAAGGAACGUUGAAGACGACGACGUUGAUAGGCCGGGUGUGUAAGCGCAGCGAUGCGUUGAGCUAACCGGUACUAAUGAACCGUGAGGCUUA
Molecule: ribosomal RNA, 1008 nt
Filed under: Salmonella enterica subsp. enterica
Lineage: Bacteria; Pseudomonadati; Pseudomonadota; Gammaproteobacteria; Enterobacterales; Enterobacteriaceae
Also listed under: 1 other name
Description: partial 23S ribosomal RNA
Rfam family: Bacterial large subunit ribosomal RNA
Source: RNAcentral